UACAGAGGGUGCAAGCGUUAAUCGGAAUUACUGGGCGUAAAGCGCGCGUAGGUGGUUUGUUAAGUUGGAUGUGAAAUCCCCGGGCUCAACCUGGGAACUGCAUCCAAAACUGGCAAGCUAGAGUAUGGUAGAGGGUGGUGGAAUUUCCUGUGUAGCGGUGAAAUGCGUAGAGAUGUGGAGGAACACCGAUGGCGAAGGCAGCCCCCUGGGUCAAGAUUGACGCUCAUGCACGAAAGCGUGGGGAGCAAACAGG
This 253-nucleotide ribosomal RNA is filed under the name uncultured prokaryote. Its description in RNAcentral is "partial 16S ribosomal RNA". It matches the Rfam family "Bacterial small subunit ribosomal RNA", at positions 524 to 776 of the family's 1533-position model. The record is from RNAcentral.